This 2891-nucleotide ribosomal RNA is filed under the name Pseudomonas savastanoi. Its description in RNAcentral is "bacterial LSU rRNA". It matches the Rfam family "Bacterial large subunit ribosomal RNA". Lineage: Bacteria; Pseudomonadati; Pseudomonadota; Gammaproteobacteria; Pseudomonadales; Pseudomonadaceae. The record is from RNAcentral. RNAcentral also lists the same sequence under 1 other name.
UCAAGUGAAGAAGCGCAUACGGUGGAUGCCUUGGCAGUCAGAGGCGAUGAAAGACGUGGUAGCCUGCGAAAAGCUUCGGGGAGUCGGCAAACAGACUGUGAUCCGGAGAUGUCUGAAUGGGGGAACCCAGCCAUCAUAAGAUGGUUAUCUUGUACUGAAUACAUAGGUGCAAGAGGCGAACCAGGGGAACUGAAACAUCUAAGUACCCUGAGGAAAAGAAAUCAACCGAGAUUCCCUUAGUAGUGGCGAGCGAACGGGGACCAGCCCUUAAGUUGUAUUGAGAUUAGCGGAACGUUCUGGAAAGGACGGCCAUAGUGGGUGAUAGCCCUGUACGCGAAAAUCCCUUUGCAAUGAAAUCGAGUAGGACGGGGCACGAGAAACCUUGUCUGAAUAUGGGGGGACCAUCCUCCAAGGCUAAAUACUACUGACUGACCGAUAGUGAACCAGUACCGUGAGGGAAAGGCGAAAAGAACCGCGGAGAGCGGAGUGAAAUAGAUCCUGAAACCGUAUGCGUACAAGCAGUGGGAGCCCACUUUGUUGGGUGACUGCGUACCUUUUGUAUAAUGGGUCAGCGACUUAUUUUCAGUGGCGAGCUUAACCGAAUAGGGGAGGCGUAGCGAAAGCGAGUCUUAAUAGGGCGUCUAGUCGCUGGGAAUAGACCCGAAACCGGGCGAUCUAUCCAUGGGCAGGUUGAAGGUUGGGUAACACUAACUGGAGGACCGAACCGACUACCGUUGAAAAGUUAGCGGAUGACCUGUGGAUCGGAGUGAAAGGCUAAUCAAGCUCGGAGAUAGCUGGUUCUCCUCGAAAGCUAUUUAGGUAGCGCCUCAUGUAUCACUGUAGGGGGUAGAGCACUGUUUCGGCUAGGGGGUCAUCCCGACUUACCAAACCGAUGCAAACUCCGAAUACCUACAAGUGCCGAGCAUGGGAGACACACGGCGGGUGCUAACGUCCGUCGUGAAAAGGGAAACAACCCAGACCGUCAGCUAAGGUCCCAAAGUCAUGGUUAAGUGGGAAACGAUGUGGGAAGGCUUAGACAGCUAGGAGGUUGGCUUAGAAGCAGCCACCCUUUAAAGAAAGCGUAAUAGCUCACUAGUCGAGUCGGCCUGCGCGGAAGAUGUAACGGGGCUCAAACCAUGCACCGAAGCUACGGGUAUCAUCUUAGGAUGAUGCGGUAGAGGAGCGUUCUGUAAGCCUGUGAAGGUGAGUUGAGAAGCUUGCUGGAGGUAUCAGAAGUGCGAAUGCUGACAUGAGUAACGACAAUGGGUGUGAAAAACACCCACGCCGAAAGACCAAGGUUUCCUGCGCAACGUUAAUCGACGCAGGGUUAGUCGGUCCCUAAGGCGAGGCUGAAAAGCGUAGUCGAUGGAAAACAGGUUAAUAUUCCUGUACUUCUGGUUAUUGCGAUGGAGGGACGGAGAAGGCUAGGCCAGCCUGGCGUUGGUUGUCCAGGUUUAAGGUGGUAGGCUGAGAUCUUAGGUAAAUCCGGGAUCUCAAGGCCGAGAGCUGAUGACGAGUGUUCUUUAGAACACGAAGUGGUUGAUGCCAUGCUUCCAAGAAAAGCUUCUAAGCUUCAGGUAACCAGGAACCGUACCCCAAACCGACACAGGUGGUUGGGUAGAGAAUACCAAGGCGCUUGAGAGAACUCGGGUGAAGGAACUAGGCAAAAUGGCACCGUAACUUCGGGAGAAGGUGCGCCGGUGAGGGUGAAGCAUUUACUGCGUAAGCCCACGCCGGUCGAAGAUACCAGGCCGCUGCGACUGUUUAUUAAAAACACAGCACUCUGCAAACACGAAAGUGGACGUAUAGGGUGUGACGCCUGCCCGGUGCCGGAAGGUUAAUUGAUGGGGUUAGCGCAAGCGAAGCUCUUGAUCGAAGCCCCGGUAAACGGCGGCCGUAACUAUAACGGUCCUAAGGUAGCGAAAUUCCUUGUCGGGUAAGUUCCGACCUGCACGAAUGGCGUAACGAUGGCGGCGCUGUCUCCACCCGAGACUCAGUGAAAUUGAAAUCGCUGUGAAGAUGCAGUGUAUCCGCGGCUAGACGGAAAGACCCCGUGAACCUUUACUAUAGCUUUGCACUGGACUUUGAAUUUGCUUGUGUAGGAUAGGUGGGAGGCUUUGAAGCGUGGACGCCAGUCUGCGUGGAGCCAACCUUGAAAUACCACCCUGGCAACUUUGAGGUUCUAACUCAGGUCCGUUAUCCGGAUCGAGGACAGUGUAUGGUGGGUAGUUUGACUGGGGCGGUCUCCUCCUAAAGAGUAACGGAGGAGUACGAAGGUGCGCUCAGACCGGUCGGAAAUCGGUCGUAGAGUAUAAAGGCAAAAGCGCGCUUGACUGCGAGACAGACACGUCGAGCAGGUACGAAAGUAGGUCUUAGUGAUCCGGUGGUUCUGUAUGGAAGGGCCAUCGCUCAACGGAUAAAAGGUACUCCGGGGAUAACAGGCUGAUACCGCCCAAGAGUUCAUAUCGACGGCGGUGUUUGGCACCUCGAUGUCGGCUCAUCACAUCCUGGGGCUGAAGCCGGUCCCAAGGGUAUGGCUGUUCGCCAUUUAAAGUGGUACGCGAGCUGGGUUUAGAACGUCGUGAGACAGUUCGGUCCCUAUCUGCCGUGGACGUUUGAGAUUUGAGAGGGGCUGCUCCUAGUACGAGAGGACCGGAGUGGACGAACCUCUGGUGUUCCGGUUGUCACGCCAGUGGCAUUGCCGGGUAGCUAUGUUCGGAAAAGAUAACCGCUGAAAGCAUCUAAGCGGGAAACUUGCCUCAAGAUGAGAUCUCACUGGAACCUUGAGUUCCCUAGAGGGCCGUCGAAGACUACGACGUUGAUAGGUUGGGUGUGUAAGCGCUGUGAGGCGUUGAGCUAACCAAUACUAAUUGCCCGUGAGGCUUGACCAU